Molecule: ribosomal RNA, 415 nt
Filed under: uncultured archaeon
Lineage: Archaea
Description: partial 16S ribosomal RNA
Rfam family: Archaeal small subunit ribosomal RNA
Source: RNAcentral
GUGCAGCAGUCGCGAAAACUCCGCAAUACGCGAAAGCGUGACGGGGCUACCCCGAGUGUCGUCCGCUGAGGACGACUUUUCCACGCUGUAAGGAGGCGUGGGAAUAAGGGGAGGGCAAGUCUGGUGUCAGCCGCCGCGGUAAUACCAGCUCCCCGAGUGGUUGGGACGAUUAUUGGGUCUAAAGCGUCCGUAGCCGGCUGAGGAAGUUCUCCGUUAAAUCCAACGAUUCAAUCGUUGGGCUGCGGGGAAUACUCCUCAGCUUGGGGGCGGGGGAUGUCGGCGGUAUUUCCGGGGUAGGGGCGAAAUCCUAUAAUCCCGGAAGGACCACCAGUGGCGAAGGCGGCCGACAAAAACGCGCCCGACGGUGAGGGACGAAAGCUGGGGGAGCGAUCGGGAUUAGAUACCCCGGUAGUCC